Molecule: ribosomal RNA, 463 nt
Filed under: uncultured bacterium
Lineage: Bacteria
Description: partial 16S ribosomal RNA
Rfam family: Bacterial small subunit ribosomal RNA
Source: RNAcentral
CGAACGCUGGCGGCGUGCUUAACACAUGCAAGUCGAACGGAAAGGCCCCUUUGGGGGUACUCGAGUGGCGAACGGGUGAGUAACACGUGAGUAACCUGCCCUUGACUUCGGGAUAACUUCAGGAAACUGGGGCUAAUACCGGAUAGGAAUCCUUGCUGCAUGGUGGGGGUUGGAAAGCUUCGGCGGGUUUGGAUGGACUCGCGGCUUAUCAGCUUGUUGGUGGGGUAGUGGCUUACCAAGGCUUUGACGGGUAGCCGGCCUGAGAGGGCGACCGGCCACAUUGGGACUGAGAUACGGCCCAGACUCCGACGGGAGGCAGCAGUGGGGAAUAUUGCACAAUGGGCGGAAGCCUGAUGCAGCAACGCCGCGUGCGGGAUGACGGCCUUCGGGUUGUAAACCGCUUUCAGCAGGGGCGAAGCUUGUGGUGACGGUACCUGCAGAAGAAGCACCGGCUAACUACGUG